AGCGGCGGACGGGUGAGUAAUGCCUGGGAAUAUGCCCUGAUGUGGGGGAUAACUAUUGGAAACGAUAGCUAAUACCGCAUAAUCUCUUCGGAGCAAAGAGGGGGACCUUCGGGCCUCUCGCGUCAGGAUUAGCCCAGGUGGGAUUAGCUUGUUGGUGAGGUAAUGGCUCACCAAGGCAACGAUCCCUAGCUGGUCUGAGAGGAUGAUCAGCCACACUGGAACUGAGACACGGUCCAGACUCCUACGGGAGGCAGCAGUGGGGAAUAUUGCACAAUGGGGGAAACCCUGAUGCAGCCAUGCCGCGUGUGUGAAGAAGGCCUUCGGGUUGUAAAGCACUUUCAGUAGGGAGGAAGGUAGUGUAGUUAACACCUGCAUUAUUUGACGUUACCUACAGAAGAAGCACCGGUUAACUCCGUGCCAGCAGCCGCGGUAAUACGGAGGGUGCGAGCGUUAAUCGGAAUUACUGGGCGUAAAGCGCAUGCAGGCGGCCUGUUAAGUCAGAUGUGAAAGCCCGGGGCUUAACCUCGGAAUUGCAUUUGAAACUGGCAGGCUAGAGUCUUGUAGAGGGGGGUAGAAUUUCAGGUGUAGCGGUGAAAUGCGUAGAGAUCUGAAGGAAUACCAGUGGCGAAGCGGCCCCCUGGACAAAGACUGACGCUCAGAUGCGAAAGCGUGGGGAGCAAACAGGA
Molecule: ribosomal RNA, 686 nt
Filed under: uncultured Photobacterium sp.
Lineage: Bacteria; Pseudomonadati; Pseudomonadota; Gammaproteobacteria; Vibrionales; Vibrionaceae
Description: bacterial SSU rRNA
Rfam family: Bacterial small subunit ribosomal RNA
Source: RNAcentral